Molecule: transfer-messenger RNA, 399 nt
Filed under: Legionellaceae bacterium
Lineage: Bacteria; Pseudomonadati; Pseudomonadota; Gammaproteobacteria; Legionellales; Legionellaceae
Rfam family: transfer-messenger RNA
About the family: Bacterial tmRNA, also known as 10Sa RNA or SsrA, is named for its dual tRNA and mRNA-like properties. Its role is to liberate the mRNA from a stalled ribosome.
Source: RNAcentral
GGGGGCGACCAGGUUUCGACGUGGGUUGCAAAACCUGAAGUGCAUGCCGAGCAGGAGACCGCUCGUAUAAAUGGCUCAAAUAAACAUAAAUGCAAACAAUGCAAACUUUGACGAAGUGACUGCAAUCGCUGCCUAAACCGUAGUGAAGUCAUGGAGUCUGUGCGUUGGCUAAUACCCAGCGUCCCGUUGACCUAGCCCGCUUGUCGGUUAGAAUCAGCGGUCAUAUAGACGAGCUUGCGUGGUCUGGGGCCCUUGCUGACUACGUGAAAUAAAGAGGGAUCGUUUCACCUGUUCCUGUCUGUCGGGGCAUGUGCGGCUAAAUAUAAAGACAAGACUAUGCAUGUAGAAACGAUGGCAGAGUAUUCGCGGACGCGGGUUCGAUUCCCGCCGCCUCCACCA